AGGCCAGGCUGGAUGUGGCUCUGGGCAGCCUGGUCUAGUGGUUGGUGACUCUGCCUAUGGUGAGGGGGUUGAGUCUGGGCUGAUCUUUGAUGUCCUUUUCAACCAUUCUGUGAUUCUGUGUUGCUCUGCUUUUCUUGCUACAGCACUUGUGGAAAAAGUAGUGGUAAACCUUGCAUCUAGCUCAGGGAAAAAUAAUCCAGCUAAUCUUCAAGGUAUCUGAAUUAGAACAGCAUUAGUAAGGCAUGGACUUUCUUUAAACAGCUUUCACAGAAAUUGAGAUAAUUUCAACAGGCCUCUUGAAGUAGUAACCUGGUCACUGGAGUGGAUAAUUCCAUUUUGAAAGCUUGCAGGAUUUUGAGUGGAGUGCUGGCAUUUCCCGGUAGACUUCUGUGACAUUUAUCUUGUGUGCAUUCUAACCUUUAUCUUUCUCUUUAGCAAUGGCAUAGUCUUUCAGUCUUCCUGCCAUGGCUUGAGUGGGAUAUUGCUGCUGUUCCUGUCUUGAAUGCUUACUGUGAGAGGAGGCAGCUUCAGUCGGAGCCUGGCUGUUGAGUAUUCCUGGUAUUCCCCAACUCUGCUUCUGUGCUAUAGAUAAGCAUUUUGGGAGCAGUGUACAGUUGAGGCUUCCAUGUGCUGCACAGAUGCCAGAGAUGGCCCAGAGGCGGGGCUGGAAGCCAACACAGCGUACUGAAAGAGACAUCUAUUGGAACGGACAGCUUCAACCUCAGGAGACAUUGUCUUGCUGAGAUGCUAGUUACUGCAGCUAAGGCGGCUUCAUUGCCAGCUUCCCAUUGAGUUUAUACCAGCUUCUUUAGCUUUUCAUGUGGAAAAUAAAAAUACUGUCAUAUUGAAACUUGGAAAGUGUAGACCAAUGGUACAAACACCCUUAGACUUAAAACUGAAAAAAAAAAGGUGCAGAUACUAUUUGAUUUGACCUUUUCUCCUUUUACUGUUCUUUUUCUUGUGAUUUUGAGCAGGGUCUUGUGGCUAACUAGCUUUCAUUCUGAGCAAACUGAGCCCACCAUGUUUACUUCAGAGAGUGAUUUAGGACACCUGCAGCUUCAUUUGCUUUAUUGCAUUUAUUUCUUUAUUCUCAGCAUGAAUUGGAAUUUACUACUGGAAACUUGAUAGGGCAGGUGAAUUGGAAUCCCCUUUAGUUAUUAUAAUAUCUUAGGUAUAAGGAUGUUUUUGAGACACCAGGGUUAGUUUAUUGUAACAUUUCAGGAUAUUACAGUUUAUUGGAAGGCUACAGUAAGAGAAUUUAAUGGUAGAAGUGCUUUGCUGUGAGAAUGAUUCACUAAUGGACAGAACCAUAGCCAAAGUUCAGAACAUAAUAGUGCCCAUCAGCCCUAAGACAGUCACCAAUCUCUGCAUUCACCAUGGUAGACGUCUCUGUAAAAAUCCUUGGCCUGGUGAUGCCAACUCAGAAUUAAUGUGGCAGUAGCAGGAAUACAUUGACAUUAGUUGUGAUGCUGAUAGAAGUAGAGGCAUGAAUUUAUUCUCCCUGAUAUGGUGAACUAGUUAUGUUUUUGCCUGGACUGUUUAAGCAAGUUUACAGCAAGUCAGGGUAGGACUUUUCCUAUGCAGGGAAGUUCUGUACAUCCUGAACAAAAGGCCAAGCUGGAUGGAGUAGUUGUUCUUUGUGUUUUGAUGACAGAUCCUGAAUGGAAAUAAGCUGGCUAGUUUGGCUAGAGGAUAAAAACGAUGUAGAUUUUGGUGAUUUCUGUAAGAUCUUAUUGCCUGCUUUGUUGGCAGAGUUGGUCUAGCCUGGAGCACUGAUGGCUGCUGUGUAAGCAAACUGCAAAACUUCUGUUAUUAUUUCUGCAGUGCUAUAUGGUUUAUGCUAUUCAAGUCAUUAUGUGUAUGGCAAUACUGUGUUGCGUUACUUCUUGGUAAUCUUUUACAUACCAAAUUGUUUUCCGGUGUUUACAAAAGCAAACACAUUGGGCAAUUAAUGCAGGUGUUUAGUCUGUUUUAUCGUCAUUGUGCAUGUUAUUUUUUGUUGUCCAGUUGCAUUGCAGUCUUAGCAUGGUGGUAUUUUCUGACUUGAAUUAAAAUAAAGCUAUCCUGAUGGCAGAGGAAAUAGCAAAGAUUCAUGGAAAUGGUUGGUGGGAAGUAGCCUUCCACAGAUAUAACUCGACUCUAGUUCAAGUAGGCAGAGUGAACAAAUUCUGGCAGUGAAAGGGAAUGCUGUCCAUGCAAAAGUGGUAGUAAAGGUUCAAGUGCAACAUAUGUCACUUAGGUACCUUUUCUGGCCUAGGUAAUGUACUGGCAAGUAUAACAUCCUUGACAUCGGUGAUGAGAUACUAGAUUGGUGGUUGAUCAAAAGGAACCAGCUGAUAGUAGGUGUCUUGCCAAAUGCCCAGACCAGGUCACUUGCUUGCAAUCUUCCAUCAUGUUCUUGUUUUUGAAAGAAAAAUUAAUUUUAUAGUAGUUCUGUCAAAAAUAUAAUCUUGUUUAAACAGUGAGCGAUCUUUGCCCAGAUGUACAUUUACUCUGAUUAUUACAUAUUAUUUCUAUUUUAGAAGGCAUUUAUGAGCUGCCCCUUAAAACUACACUUAGAAUUACUGAUGAAAAUCACUAUAGCAGAAUAUGAGAAAACAUUUCUUUUUUAUGUGGAACCAUAAAUUCUUGAAAGACUCAGUGUGCAGCAGUACUUCCAAAUCAGCAGCCUGCCUAUUACAGCUGUGCACUUGGGUUUGCACACCAAAGCCAUUCUGCUGCACAAAACUACCGGCUGUCUUGUUUUGUUCUCUUAGGCUAUGAGAAACAUCUUGAAACAUCUUGAAAGAUAAAGUAGGGAUACUUCUGUGGUCAGUUGGGCUUUCUUUCAGAAGAGUGGAUGCUUCUCUGAUACCUGUUAGUCUUUCGUUUUUCUUGUAAGUUAUUAUUAUUAUUAUUAUUUUUAACUUUAGAAACUAGAAGUCUGAUGUCAUAUUAGCUUAUUGGAAUCAGUUUAUAUUCAGGUGACAAACCAGCUUGGGGCUGUGGAUAUGGAUGUGUAGUUUAGCUCACAUGGAAUUCAGUUUGCUCCAUUUAUGUCUGAGUAGCUUUUGAUGGUAACUGCAAUACUGCUACAAUAAGACACAAACAUCACGGUCUCAUCUCUAUUUUUUUGGAGAACAGUCUUGAAAUACAUUUAUAAUUAAUGGGAAAUAGAAGGGUUUGAUUACAAGUAGGUUUAGUUUUGUAAUUCUGUAGUAAGUGCUUUGUCUCAUUUAGAAAAUGAUGAAAUAAUGUAAAGCACUCUUGAGGGUAGUAAUUGAUGAAGAGAGCUGUUCACGAUUGCUAGUGUGGUUCUCAUCCUAGGUAAUCUGAAUGCUGGCGUUCUUACUCAUGUGACAUACCCAUUGCUGUGAACUGGUAAAGUUUCUCAAAAGAGUUAGUUAGUAGUAGAGUAGAUAGGUCAGAUGAGGAAAUGUGUGAAAAAGGUGUGGUCAUCUAACUAAGUUAAAUGUGGGGGAAAAAAAAGGCCGUCACUGUCAAAAACAGAAAUCCUUUUCUUCCUCCUAGUUACAUUAGGUGGGAGGUUCUCAGAUAAUCUGUCAUCUGUGUUCUUGAGGAAGAUUUGGAGAAGAUCAUAUUCCAGAGUCCUGGAAUGUAUAGGUCUGGACUAUUGAAAAGAGGAAAAACCUGUUGAAAAUCACCUUUAAAAGAGUCUCUAUACAUACAGAACAUGUUUGUAAUCAAAUAAUUGUGGACACAUUCUGCUGAAUACACAGCGUGGUUUGAUUUUUUUUUUUUUUCUCUAUUUCAGACACUUCCUGUAUUGAUCUCAGUAUUUGUUUACAUCUUGAAGAGGCAGUGAACUUUGUAGGGAGUUAAUUAUGAUGUACUUCUUCAUCUGAAACCAGAGCCAUGUUUCUGUCUCAUUAACGAAAUACCUUUCUUUUUGAGUCAAUUAGCAUUACCAGUAUGGAAGAACAAGUGUAUGGUUUUAACUGGAGAUCUCUAGAUGUGUCUGUGCAGUUAUGUUCUUGGUUGUCAGCUAUAAUUAUGUGUGCAGCUGUUAGAACAUUUACGCUCUGGAACACAGGGGGACCAUAAGUGAAUUGUUGGCAUGUCCUUUCUUCCUGCCUUCCUGCAGUAUGUAUUCAGGAAUACAUACUAGAAUGGGUAAAUGUAGGAAAUAUGUGAGAGCUGUCCGUGAUGGUACAUCUUGCAUCUUGCUGCACAUGCUGAUUUGCCCUCACUGGUCUCAAUUUAACUGUUGUUUUUUUCUGAGAUAAACUGCAUCAGAUGCCCUAAUUGCAAACUGUGCUGUUGGUUCCUAAAUAUGAUAAAAGAAUGACUGACAACGAAGAAAAAAUUUGCACAGGUGCUUGGUAUGACAUAGUGUGACCUGAAUCAAAGGUGACAGUCUGUGAGAACAUAUGGGGACUGGUGUGAGUUGGUAGCCUCGUGGGUUUUGAAUGAGAGCAGAUAAGUUAUUGUUUCCUUUUGCUCUUAGCUUCUGUCCUUAUACUCAAUAAUAUGGAGUAAAAACAUGGAGAAGAAUCAGUCACUAGUUGCCAGCGAAAUCCGUGCCUCUCAGGUGUUAACCUGAAGCCUGCAUGUUCUUAGUAGGCUUUUCAGACACCUGAGACAACCAGCAGGGGAAGAAUGUCACCUGUAUAGAAGGAACUUCUAAAGAGACCUGAGGGGAUGCUUCUCUAAUUUAGCAGUGUUCUCUCCAAUCUGGUAAUCUGUCUUCUUUUCCUUUUUAUGACUGAAGAAGGCUUUUUCUGCUUCGGAAGAAUAUUCUCCUGAAUGUGCCCUUGUUGCAGUUUAUAGUUCAGUCCCUGAAGGAAAGGUAUUGCAGCAAAUUCUCGUUGCAUCUGUGCUGUUUUAGGCAUUUGAAGCAGAGGCAGAGAAGCAAGAUGAAGGAUGUAGCUUGUUCCAGGGAAGAGCUUGGGAAAAUCUUGUGCUUUGUGCCCAUGUGUUCUGGGUAAAUAAGUUUGAAGAGCUUCAGUGAUCUUGAAUUUUCUGAAGGUUACCUUGAAGGUGUUUUGUUUGUUUCUAGCAUUUUAACAAGUUGUUAGAAAGGGGCAAAACCACUUGCUUGCCAAUGACCUGUGGUUGCAAAAUGGUUUAUGUAUUGCUGCUGUGUGGCAGGUGAUUAUGGGUACUGAGUCUUUUUGAAAGUAAAAGUGAAUGUAACAGCAUAAAACCCAUCACCCCUGUGCAAAUUGUGUUACAUUAUUCAGGCUAGCAGCGACAAGAGCUGGAUUUAAAGCAAUGCCAUCAAAUAUGUAUUUUUUAUUUCCUGGCUUAUUUGAUACAAAUUUGAAAUCCUAGGGAAAAAUAAUGUGUCUGCAGCAGGCUGGAUUGAUGAGGCAUGGUGCAUCUCCCUUACAAGUCCUCGGGCUCUGUCUGGGACUUGGGAGCCCCAGGAAGACUGCCAUGCUGGUUCAUGCUGGGUGAGGCAGCACUUGACUGGGGAAGAUCCUAACAAAGCCGGCAAUUACUUGAAUUCAGAAAAGCAGAGGUAAAAAGGCAGCCUGCCAGCCCUACUGGAAUGGUGUUUCUUUUGUUGAAGUAAGAAGUUUAAAAAA
Coturnix japonica (Japanese quail) is the source of this 5531-nucleotide non-coding RNA. NCBI's taxonomy places the organism in Eukaryota, Metazoa, Chordata, Aves, Galliformes, Phasianidae. The record is from RefSeq and is a predicted model, not a curated record.